GAGUUUGAUCCUGGCUCAGGAUGAACGCUGGCGGCGUGCCUAAUACAUGCAAGUCGAGCGAACAGAUAAGGAGCUUGCUCCUUUGACGUUAGCGGCGGACGGGUGAGUAACACGUGGGUAACCUACCUAUAAGACUGGAAUAACUCCGGGAAACCGGGGCUAAUGCCGGAUAAUAUUUAGAACCGCAUGGUUCUAAAGUGAAAGAUGGUUUUACUAUCACUUAUAGAUGGACCCGCGCCGUAUUAGCUAGUUGGUAAGGUAACGGCUUACCAAGGCGACGAUACGUAGCCGACCUGAGAGGGUGAUCGGCCACACUGGAACUGAGACACGGUCCAGACUCCUACGGGAGGCAGCAGUAGGGAAUCUUCCGCAAUGGGCGAAAGCCUGACGGAGCAACGCCGCGUGAGUGAUGAAGGGUUUCGGCUCGUAAAACUCUGUUAUUAGGGAAGAACAAAUGUGUAAGUAACUGUGCACAUCUUGACGGUACCUAAUCAGAAAGCCACGGCUAACUACGUGCCAGCAGCCGCGGUAAUACGUAGGUGGCAAGCGUUA
Molecule: ribosomal RNA, 552 nt
Filed under: uncultured bacterium
Lineage: Bacteria
Description: bacterial SSU rRNA
Rfam family: Bacterial small subunit ribosomal RNA
Source: RNAcentral